GGUAGAUUUUCUUUAUUUUCUAAAUCUUUUCCUUUUUUACUCGUUAUUAUAUUCUAUUUAUUCUCGUCCUUUGUACCUAUUGUAUGAAUCAUUAGAAAAGUAAUAAAACUAAAAAACAUUGUGGUUUUUCUCUCGAUUCUUGAUUUUUCAUGUAAGCCUUAGGUUUCGUGUUUCGUACUUACAAUAUGGUAUCAGAGCAAAGCAACAACGAAACCCUAGAAAAAAAUUUAGGAAGAACCUAGACCCAACCAGCCACCGCUGUCUUUGGACUAGAUAGCUCGAAGUUACUAGAACCAUUUUCGGAGGAGACACUUUUGGGAUUUUUGCAUGAGAGCACAACACUUGUGGGGAAGACGAAGAUUAUGUAAGAUAAGAAAGAGGGAUAUUAUUCAUAAAAGAAGCGGAUAAGUCGAUAAGCCGACCUUGCUACUUUUACCUAAAUUACGGAGAAAGUAGUGAAAUACAAGAGGUGGCCGUCCGGAGAAAGACAAGAGCAAGAAAGGCGCAAAGAAUAUUGCGAGUAUAAUGGGGAAAGAAUUUGAAAACAGAAACAACAUAAGGAAGUACGGGAAGAGCUACAAAAUAAGGAUAAAGGAAGUACAAGAAUAGCAUCAACAUAAGGAAGUACAAGAAGAAAAAGGGGUGAAGCCCUACAGUACAGGUAUAGGUAAGUCCAGAAAGAACAAGUAAAUCAGGCGCAAAGAAUAUUGCGUCAAGUGUGAGGGGCAAAGAAUGAUCGAAGAAGUAAGCAAAUAUGAAGGUCGAAGCCACCUAAUGGUUAUGGUUCCUAAUAUAAUGGUUAUAGAACAUCGCAUUCGAUUGCGAAGGCAAAAGCCGAAACUCGGCUGACUCCUAGCAAGACCGAAGCUCCCGUAGAGGAGCUGAGGAAGUAUACCUCAACCUCAUGACGCGGAUAAGAGGGGGAGUACAGAAAGGGAAAAAGGAACCUAAGAGCUAACCUUUCUGCUCCCUCUCUCCCUAGUUGUCGGUAGCAGCUACCGGCUUCCGGGUUUUCAGGAUGUGGUAUAUGGCUCAGCUCCUUGAAGGGAGCUUCGGUCUUGCGUCUUUAUACAAAUUUUAGAUAGAGUUUUCUCUUCUUUAUGUGGCUAAAACCCAAAAAGUGUUUCGCCUACUUUUUCAAGAUUGAACUCCGUAUUUUGUAUUCUAUAUAUAUUCUCUACACUUCGUUUCAUUCUUAUAUAUGUUGUCUGUGUUCCUAAUCAACUAAAUUUACUACUUUAAUUUUAUAUAUGACUAAUUAUGUUUUAUCAUAUAUUGUGAAUAUGAUCAAUAGAACUCCAGUAUACUAUACCUAGAUUUACCUGUUGGCACCGGUUUUUCGUAUGCUAAAACUACAGAAAAUCAUAAAUCAGAAGAUCACGAACAAGUUCAACAUUCCCUUCAAUUUUUGAAAAAGUGGUUCGAUGAUCAUCCAGAAUUUAUAUCAAAUCCAUUUUAUAUUGCUGGAAAUUCUUAUUCUGGUAUGAUUGUUCCAAUGGUUGUUCUAGCAAUUUUAGAAGGUGUACUUAUGUAGUUAAACAAGGAUGUAUUUUAUGGUCCAAAUGUCCAUCUUUAGAAGAACCAAAAACAAUAUCUGAUCGAAGAUCUCUCAACAGUAUAUUUGUUGGUCGAAGAUGUCCUGUAAUUUCUCUUCUCCUUAUUAUAAAAUAUGCUAAAUUUUACCCCGUUUAUAUUACUUUAUGAAAUAAUUAAACAAAUUAGUUCCCAAUUAUUUCACUCAUAUAAUGAUUAAGCUGA
Molecule: long non-coding RNA, 1758 nt
Organism: Cucumis sativus (cucumber)
Lineage: Eukaryota; Viridiplantae; Streptophyta; Magnoliopsida; Cucurbitales; Cucurbitaceae
Exons: 3
Source: RefSeq, a predicted model, not a curated record